This 257-nucleotide ribosomal RNA is filed under the name uncultured bacterium. RNAcentral's name for it is "partial 16S ribosomal RNA". It matches the Rfam family "Bacterial small subunit ribosomal RNA", at positions 524 to 776 of the family's 1533-position model. The record is from RNAcentral.
UACAGAGACCUCAAGCGUUAUCCGGAAUCAUUGGGCGUAAAGCGUACCGAUAGGUGGUUUUACAAGUCAGAAGUGAAAUCUCUCAGCUUAACUGGGAGACUGUCUUUUGAAACUGUAAAACUAGAAGAGCAAAGAGGAAGCUGGAACAAACGGUGUAGUAGUGAAAUGCGUUGAUAUCGUUUGGAACACCAAUAGCGUAGGCAGGCUUCUGGGUGCUACUUGACACUGCUAGGACGAAAGCGUGGGGAGCGAUAAGG